AUGGCUCAGGAUGAACGCUGGCGGCGUGCCUAAUACAUGCAAGUGAAACGGGUAUCUUCGGAUACCAGUCGCGGACGGGUGAGUAAUACAUAGGCAACCUGCCUUUAUGAGGGGGAUAACCGAGGGGAACUUUGGCUAAUACCGCAUGAAGACUCUAAGGCAUCUUAGAGGGAUAAAAGUUGGGAAACAACGCAUGAAGAUGGGCUUAUGGCGCAUUAGCUAGUUGGUGAGAUAGAAGCCCACCAAGGUAAUGAUGCGUAGCCGACCUGAGAGGGUGAACGGCCACAUUGGGACUGAGACACGGCCCAAACUCCUACGGGAGGCAACAGUAGGGAAUUUUCGGCAAUGGGGGGAACCCUGACCGAGCAACGCCGCGUGAAAGGAAGAAGGUUUUCGGAUUGUAAACUUCUGUUAUAAGGGAAGAACGGAUUGGAUAGGGAAUGAUCUGAUAGUGACGGUACCUUAUUAGAAAGCCACGGCUAACUACGUGCCAGCAGCCGC
This 501-nucleotide ribosomal RNA is filed under the name uncultured bacterium. RNAcentral describes it as "bacterial SSU rRNA". It matches the Rfam family "Bacterial small subunit ribosomal RNA", at positions 19 to 518 of the family's 1533-position model. The record is from RNAcentral.